GGAGUGCCAACUUACAGACUACGA
RNAcentral lists this non-coding RNA (24 nucleotides) under Arabidopsis thaliana (thale cress). Lineage: Eukaryota; Viridiplantae; Streptophyta; Magnoliopsida; Brassicales; Brassicaceae. The record is from RNAcentral.